CCUACGGGAGGCAGCAGUAAGGAAUCUUGCGCAAUGGGCGAAAGCCUGACGCAGCGACGCCGCGUGAGUGAUGAAGGCCUUCGGGUCGUAAAGCUCUGUCAGAGGGGAAGAAAUGCAGGUGGUGAACAACCAUUCUGUUUGAUGGUACCCUCAAAGGAAGCACCGGCUAACUCCGUGCCAGCAGCCGCGGUAAUACGGAGGGUGCGAGCGUUGUUCGGAAUUAUUGGGCGUAAAGCGCGUGUAGGCGGUUUGUUAAGUCUGAGGUAAAAGCCCCGGGCCAAACCGGGGAAGUGCAUUGGAUACUGGCAGACUUGAGUACGGGAGAGGAGAGUGGAAUUCCCAGUGUAGGAGUGAAAUCCGUAGAUAUUGGGAGGAACGCCGGUGGCGAGGGCGGCUCUCUGGACCGAUACUGACGCUGAGGCGCGAAAGCGUGGGGAGCAAACAGGAUUAGAUACCCGGGUAUU
Molecule: ribosomal RNA, 464 nt
Filed under: uncultured Geobacteraceae bacterium
Lineage: Bacteria; Pseudomonadati; Thermodesulfobacteriota; Desulfuromonadia; Geobacterales; Geobacteraceae
Description: partial 16S ribosomal RNA
Rfam family: Bacterial small subunit ribosomal RNA
Source: RNAcentral